RNAcentral lists this unclassified non-coding RNA (307 nucleotides) under Sordariomycetes sp. RNAcentral's name for it is "partial contains 5.8S ribosomal RNA, internal transcribed spacer 2, and large subunit ribosomal RNA". The stretch from base 1 to 71 matches the Rfam family "5.8S ribosomal RNA", at positions 84 to 154 of the family's 154-position model. Lineage: Eukaryota; Fungi; Ascomycota; Sordariomycetes. The record is from RNAcentral.
GUGAGUCAUCGAAUCUUUGAACGCACAUUGCGCCCGCCAGUAUUCUGGCGGGCAUGCCUGUUCGAGCGUCAUUUCAACCCUCGAGCCCCUCCGGGGGAUCGGUGUUGGGGACCGGCCCCGCCCCGUUGCGGGCAGCCGCCCCCGAAAUGAAGUGGCGGUCACGUCGCGGCCUCCUCUGCGUAGUAGCUUUUGAAACCUCGCAUCGGAGCGCGGCGCGGCCACGCCGUUAAACCCCCAACUUCUGAAAGGUUGACCUCGGAUCAGGUAGGAAUACCCGCUGAACUUAAGCAUAUCAAUAAGCGGAGGA